GAACCUGCCUCAAAGAGGGGGACAACAGUUGGAAACGACUGCUAAUACCGCAUAAGCCCACGACCCGGCAUCGGGAAGAGGGAAAAGGAGCAAUCCGCUUUGAGAUGGCCUCGCGUCCGAUUAGCUGGUUGGUGAGGUAACGGCCCACCAAGGCGACGAUCGGUAGCCGGACUGAGAGGUUGAACGGCCACAUUGGGACUGAGACACGGCCCAGACUCCUACGGGAGGCAGCAGUGGGGAAUAUUGCACAAUGGGGGAAACCCUGAUGCAGCGACGCCGCGUGGAGGAAGAAGGUCUUCGGAUUGUAAACUCCUGUUGUUGAGGAAGAUAAUGACGGUACUCAACAAGGAAGUGACGGCUAACUACGUGCCAGCAGCCGCGGUAAAACGUAGGUCACAAGCGUUGUCCGGAAUUACUGGGUGUAAAGGGAGCGCAGGCGGGCGAUCAAGUUGGAAGUGAAAUCCAUGGGCUCAACCCAUGAACUGCUUUCAAAACUGGUCGUCUUGAGUAGUGCAGAGGUAGGCGGAAUUCCCGGUGUAGCGGUGGAAUGCGUAGAUAUCGGGAGGAACACCAGUGGCGAAGGCGGCCUACUGGGCACCAACUGACGCUGAGGCUCGAAAGUGUGGGUAGCAAACAGGAUUAGAUACCCUGGUAGUCCACACCGUAAACGAUGAUUACUAGGUGUUGGGAGAUUGACCCUCUCAGUGC
This 708-nucleotide ribosomal RNA is filed under the name uncultured bacterium. RNAcentral describes it as "bacterial SSU rRNA". It matches the Rfam family "Bacterial small subunit ribosomal RNA", at positions 122 to 846 of the family's 1533-position model. The record is from RNAcentral.